RNAcentral lists this ribosomal RNA (700 nucleotides) under uncultured bacterium. Its description in RNAcentral is "bacterial SSU rRNA". It matches the Rfam family "Bacterial small subunit ribosomal RNA", at positions 8 to 702 of the family's 1533-position model. The record is from RNAcentral.
AGAGUUUGAUCAUGGCUCAGAACGAACGCUGGCGGCGCGCCUAAUACAUGCAAGUCGAGCGAGAAGACGUAGCAAUACGUUUGUAAAGCGGCGAACGGGUGAGGAAUACAUGGGUAAUCUACCCUCGAGUGGGGAAUAACUAGCCGAAAGGUUAGCUAAUACCGCAUACGACUCUCGGUCUGCGGAUCGGGAGAGAAAGCGAUACCGUGGGUAUCGCGCUCCUGGAUGGGCUCAUGUCCUAUCAGCUUGUUGGUGAGGUAACGGCUCACCAAGGCUUCGACGGGUAGCUGGUCUGAGAGGACGAUCAGCCACACUGGCACUGCGACACGGGCCAGACUCCUACGGGAGGCAGCAGUAAGGAAUAUUGCGCAAUGGGCGACAGCCUGACGCAGCGACGCCGCGUGGGGGAUGAAGGUCUUCGGAUUGUAAACCCCUUUCGGCAGGGAAGAUGGAACGGGAAACCGUUCGGACGGUACCUGCAGAAGCAGCCACGGCUAACUUCGUGCCAGCAGCCGCGGUAAUACGAAGGUGGCAAGCGUUGUUCGGAUUUACUGGGCGUACAGGGAGCGUAGGCGGUUGGGUAAGCCCUUCGUGAAAUCUCCGGGCCUAACCCGGAAAGUGCGGAGGGGACUGCUCGGCUAGAGGAUGGGAGAGGAGCGCGGAAUUCCCGGUGUAGCGGUGAAAUGCGUAGAGAUCGGGA